AAAAAGUUUUUUUUUUUUUUGGUCUUCUGUUGAUGAGUUUAUUAGUCUAUACUGUUGGAAAAAUUAGUUCUCUUUCGAAAUCUUUAGUCAAAUAUUUGUAUAAACAAUUUUGUUUGAAGACAACUUAGCCACUGUUUUUAGAAACGUUGAUUAAGAACGAAAUAAAUAAAAAAACUAUAGAGAAUAAAGGAUUAGAUGGAGCCUGUGAGUCGAGGCAUGCGAUUGCACUGUCCUAGAAGCAA
RNAcentral lists this long non-coding RNA (242 nucleotides) under Ananas comosus (pineapple). RNAcentral's name for it is "long non-coding RNA (ACOM_LNC041185)". Lineage: Eukaryota; Viridiplantae; Streptophyta; Magnoliopsida; Poales; Bromeliaceae. The record is from RNAcentral.